This 319-nucleotide small RNA is filed under the name Vigna angularis var. angularis. Its description in RNAcentral is "Non-protein coding transcript". The record is from RNAcentral. Lineage: Eukaryota; Viridiplantae; Streptophyta; Magnoliopsida; Fabales; Fabaceae.
AUCGGAAUGGGUCACGCGUGACAAAGCCCUGUUAUGUUUUGUGGUGUGAAUCUUGAAGCAGCUUCGUUGCAUUUGACAUCUUCCACAUGCAUUUGAACAACCUUGGUAGCUGCAUAAGAUGGGUAAAAUUUGUAUCGGCAGAGAUUUUGAGUGGCUGGAGGGUUAUUGCCAUUGCUGAAACUCUUUAGCCCACCAAAGAACUUUUCUAUCUCAUACCCAAUCUUAGCAAAAUCAGCUUGUGGUGCCAUUUCUCAGCUACACAAAGAACAACUCAACAACUGCUCUAUAUUGUCUGACUGUAAAACUUGAAGGCUAUAUA